AGUGAACGCUGGCGGCGUGCUUAACACAUGCAAGUCGAACGAGAACGGAUUAUAGCUUGCUAUAAUUGUCAGCUAAGUGGCGCACGGGUGAGUAAUAUAUAGGUAACGUGCCCCAAAGAAGAGGAUAACAGUUGGAAACGAUUGCUAAGACUCUAUAUGCCUUUAUGACAUAAGUCAGCAAGGGAAAUAUUUAUAGCUUUGGGAUCGGCCUGUACAGUAUCAGUUAGUUGGUGAGGUAAUGGCUCACCAAGACAAUGACGCUUAACUGGUUUGAGAGGAUGAUCAGUCACACUGGAACUGAGACACGGUCCAGACUCCUACGGGAGGCAGCAGUGGGGAAUAUUGCACAAUGGACGAAAGUCUGAUGCAGCAACGCCGCGUGGAGGAUGACACAUUUCGGUGCGUAAACUCCUUUUAUAUAGGAAGAUAAUGACGGUACUAUAUGAAUAAGCACCGGCUAACUCCGUGCCA
RNAcentral lists this ribosomal RNA (471 nucleotides) under uncultured bacterium. Its description in RNAcentral is "bacterial SSU rRNA". It matches the Rfam family "Bacterial small subunit ribosomal RNA", at positions 29 to 510 of the family's 1533-position model. The record is from RNAcentral.